UACGAAGGGGGCUAGCGUUGCUCGGAAUCACUGGGCGUAAAGGGUGCGUAGGCGGGUCUUUAAGUCAGGGGUGAAAUCCUGGAGCUCAACUCCAGAACUGCCUUUGAUACUGAAGAUCUUGAGUUCGGGAGAGGUGAGUGGAACUGCGAGUGUAGAGGUGAAAUUCGUAGAUAUUCGCAAGAACACCGGUGGCGAAGGCGGCCAACUGGACGAAUACUGACGCUGAGACACGAAAGCGUGGGGAGCAAACAGG
RNAcentral lists this ribosomal RNA (253 nucleotides) under uncultured bacterium. RNAcentral describes it as "partial 16S ribosomal RNA". It matches the Rfam family "Bacterial small subunit ribosomal RNA", at positions 524 to 776 of the family's 1533-position model. The record is from RNAcentral.